Molecule: transfer RNA, 70 nt
Filed under: Ictidomys tridecemlineatus (thirteen-lined ground squirrel)
Lineage: Eukaryota; Metazoa; Chordata; Mammalia; Rodentia; Sciuridae
Description: Spermophilus tridecemlineatus (thirteen-lined ground squirrel) tRNA
Rfam family: tRNA
About the family: Transfer RNA (tRNA) molecules are approximately 80 nucleotides in length. Their secondary structure includes four short double-helical elements and three loops (D, anti-codon, and T loops). Further hydrogen bonds mediate the characteristic L-shaped molecular structure. tRNAs have two regions of fundamental functional importance: the anti-codon, which is responsible for specific mRNA codon recognition, and the 3' end, to which the tRNAs corresponding amino acid is attached (by aminoacyl-tRNA synthetases). tRNAs cope with the degeneracy of the genetic code in two manners: having more than one tRNA (with a specific anti-codon) for a particular amino acid; and 'wobble' base-pairing, i.e. permitting non-standard base-pairing at the 3rd anti-codon position.
Source: Rfam by way of RNAcentral
GCAUGUGGCUUAGUGGUAGAGUACUUGCUUAGCGUGCAAGAGGCCCUGGGUUCAAUUCCCCAGCACUGCA